UACAGAGGGUGCGAGCGUUGUCCGGAAUCACUGGGCGUAAAGGGCGCGUAGGCGGCUUGAUAAGCGUGCGGUGAAAGCCCGGGGCUCAACCCCGGGUCGGCCGUGCGAACUGUCGAGCUGGAGCACUGUAGAGGCAGGCGGAAUUCCGGGUGUAGCGGUGGAAUGCGUAGAGAUCCGGAGGAAGACCGGUGGCGAAGGCGGCCUGCUGGGCAGUUUCUGACACUGAGGCGCGACAGCGUGGGGAGCAAACAGG
Molecule: ribosomal RNA, 253 nt
Filed under: uncultured bacterium
Lineage: Bacteria
Description: partial 16S ribosomal RNA
Rfam family: Bacterial small subunit ribosomal RNA
Source: RNAcentral